Molecule: ribosomal RNA, 254 nt
Filed under: uncultured bacterium
Lineage: Bacteria
Description: partial 16S ribosomal RNA
Rfam family: Bacterial small subunit ribosomal RNA
Source: RNAcentral
UACGUAGGUGGCAAGCGUUUGUCCGGAAUUAUUGGGCGUAAAGCGCGCGCAGGCGGUCCUUUAAGUCUGAUGUGAAAGCCCACGGCUCAACUGAGGAAGUGCACCCGAAACUGGCGAGCUUGAGUACGAAAGAGGAUCGCGGAAUUCCCGGUGUAGAGGUGAAAUUCGUAGAUAUCAGGAGGAACACCGAUGGCGAAGGCAGGUCUCUGGGCCACUACUGACGCUGAGAAGCGAAAGCAUGGGGAGCGAACAGG